Molecule: ribosomal RNA, 304 nt
Filed under: Streptococcus gordonii
Lineage: Bacteria; Bacillati; Bacillota; Bacilli; Lactobacillales; Streptococcaceae
Description: partial 16S ribosomal RNA
Rfam family: Bacterial small subunit ribosomal RNA
Source: RNAcentral
UUAAAUGAGAGUUUGAUCCUGGCUCAGGACGAACGCUGGCGGCGUGCCUAAUACAUGCAAGUAGAACGCACAGUUUAUACCGUAGCUUGCUACACCAUAGACUGUGAGUUGCGAACGGGUGAGUAACGCGUAGGUAACCUGCCUGGUAGCGGGGGAUAACUAUUGGAAACGAUAGCUAAUACCGCAUAAUAUUAAUUAUUGCAUGAUAAUUGAUUGAAAGAUGCAACUGCAUCACUACCAGAUGGACCUGCGUUGUAUUAGCUAGUAGGUGAGGUAACGGCUCACCUAGGCGACGAUACAUAGC